This 433-nucleotide ribosomal RNA is filed under the name uncultured bacterium. RNAcentral describes it as "partial 16S ribosomal RNA". It matches the Rfam family "Bacterial small subunit ribosomal RNA", at positions 29 to 507 of the family's 1533-position model. The record is from RNAcentral.
AACGAACGCUGGCGGCAUGCCUAACACAUGCAAGUCGAACGAGACCUCCGUGUUUGGGGGCGCAUGUGGGGGUAGCGCGGGGGAAGCUACACUUGGGUUCCGAAUACUUCACUGUAAGGGGUGCUAAUGCAGGAUAAUGUCAUCGGACCAAAGAUUUAUCGCGUUUGGAUGGGCCCGGGAUGGAUUCGCCCGUUGGGAGGGUAAAAGCCUACCAAGGCGACGAUCCAUAGCUGGUCUGAGAGGCGGAUCAGCCACACUGGGACUGAGACCCGGCCCAGACUCCUACGGGAAGCAGGAGUGGGUAAUAUUGCACAAUGGGGGAAAGCCUGAUGCAGCAACGCCGCGUGAGUGAUGAAGGCCUUAGGGUUGUAAAGCUCUUUUACCCGGGACGAUAAUGACGGUACCGGGAGAAUAAGCACCGGCUAACUACGUG